This 468-nucleotide ribosomal RNA is filed under the name uncultured bacterium. RNAcentral describes it as "partial 16S ribosomal RNA". It matches the Rfam family "Bacterial small subunit ribosomal RNA", at positions 28 to 507 of the family's 1533-position model. The record is from RNAcentral.
GACGAACGCUGGCGGCGUGCUUAACACAUGCAAGUCGAACGGUGAAGCUCCAGUUUGCUGGAGUGGAUCAGUGGCGAACGGGUGAGUAACACGUGAGCAACCUGCCCCUGACUCUGGAAUAAGCGCUGGAAACGGCGUCUAAUACUGGAUACGAGAAGGGUCCGCAUGGGCACUUUCUGGAAAGUUCUGCGGUUGGGGAUGGGCUCGCGGCCUAUCAGCUUGUUGGUGAGGUAGUGGCUCACCAAGGCGACGACGGGUAGCCGGCCUGAGAGGGCGACCGGCCACACUGGGACUGAGACACGGCCCAGACUCCUACGGGAGGCAGCAGUGGGGAAUAUUGCACAAUGGGCGAAAGCCUGAUGCAGCGACGCCGCGUGAGGGAUGACGGCCUUCGGGUUGUAAACCUCUUUCGGCAGGGAAGAAGCGAAAGUGACGGUACCUGCAGAAGAAGCACCGGCUAACUACGUG